RNAcentral lists this long non-coding RNA (438 nucleotides) under Ricinus communis (castor bean). RNAcentral's name for it is "long non-coding RNA (RCOM_LNC001535)". Lineage: Eukaryota; Viridiplantae; Streptophyta; Magnoliopsida; Malpighiales; Euphorbiaceae. The record is from RNAcentral.
CAUUAUGCAGCGACUAAAUGGUGAUAUGAAAAGAAAAAGAAAGAAAUGAAAGGAAAAGGAAGAAGGAGACAAGGAAGAGGGGGAGAAGAGCUUGGGUGGAGAAGACUCGCCUGAGGUGCAAAGGCGACGGCCGGAGCAACAACUGUUGACGGCAAGCACGAUGGUGGCAGUGGCAGCAACUGGCGGUGUGGCAGACGAUGGAAAAUGCAGAGGACGACUGCAGCUUCUCACUGUUGUAGAAGGUAUUUCCGGCGACCAUUUUGGAUGGUUCUAGUCUCAAAAUGAUCAAUGAAGUGCAGGCUUUCUUUUCCGCCCAUAAUCACGUCGUGGGAUUGCCAGAAAAGCAAGAUUCAACGAAGAAAAGUUUAUGCAUGCAGUUUGAUUUUUAGGCUUUUCUGGCCAUCUCCAAUGAGGUUAGGUUGAUCAGAGCUCACCAAC